CGUGUAUUCGACCUUUUGUCGACAAAGGUCCCAUGAGCGACAGCUGUCAAAAUAAAUGGAAAAGUUUAUACGACGCACCUGUAAUAUUGAUUCUGCCUCGUUUAACAGUUUUUUUGCACCAUGUUAAUCCACCCAUUCAUUGCUUGAUGCUGCGAUUCUCCGAAAACAAACCGUUUGGUUUGCCUAUGGAAAGACCUCAACUGAAGACCCGCCAGAUCGCAGCUUUGUUAUCUCUUCACUUGAUGGUUCCAGUGGAGAAACAGCAUCGGGAUCGAUUCCAUGGAUGAGAAUGAGCAUCCAUUCGCCAUCCAACCUUCAAGCGAAUCAGUGUAUUCCAUGGCAAAAUCGGUCCGCACCGGCUUGGCACCUGGAAACAUCAAUGGAUCAUUCUUCCCAUGCCAAUCAAUCCCUUCGUCUUUCCUGACACGUCUUCAUUCGUUGAAUCACCAGCUUCGUCAGACGAUAGCCCAGGCCUUGAAACCGAGUCCAUAAAAACGAGUUAUGGAGAGUUGACUGUUGUACUAAAUUCGGUUUUUGUUUACUAACUACUAAACAGCUCGAAGAUUUAUUAUCAAAAACUAUUUUUUGAAAUGUGUUAACUUAUUUCUA
This 609-nucleotide long non-coding RNA is filed under the name Aedes aegypti (yellow fever mosquito). Its description in RNAcentral is "lncRNA AAEL026407". Lineage: Eukaryota; Metazoa; Arthropoda; Insecta; Diptera; Culicidae. The record is from RNAcentral.